Molecule: ribosomal RNA, 250 nt
Filed under: uncultured bacterium
Lineage: Bacteria
Description: partial 16S ribosomal RNA
Rfam family: Bacterial small subunit ribosomal RNA
Source: RNAcentral
UACGUAGGUGGCGAGCGUUAUCCGGAUUUAUUGGGUUUAAAGGGUGCGUAGGCGGCUUUUUAAGUCGGUGGUUAAAGGUAGCAGCUCAACUGUUUUACAUGCCAUCGAAACUGAAGAGCUUGAGUUAUCAGGAGGCAGGCGGAAUUUCUGGUGUAGCGGUGAAAUGCAUAGAUACCAGAAGGAACACCUAUUGCGAAGGCAGCUUGCUGUAGAUACACUGACGCUGAUGCACGAAAGCGUGGGGAGCGAA